AUACUUUUUUUUUAAUGUUUUCCUGUUUAGUGUUUACAAGCACUCUAUAAACCAUUUCAACUGACUGCACAGACAACAUCAUACUAUGUAUUCUUGAUUUCUCCAACACUUGCUUAACACUACAAAUCCACAUCAAUGCGAGAGCAUUGUUUCUGGUAGAAUUACAACCCUGCCCAUAGAGCAUAACUAAUGAUAUUCGUUUAAUGUUUUCCUGUUUAGUGUUUACAAGCACUCUAUAAACCAUUUCAACUGACUGCACAGACAACAUCAUACUAUGUAUUCUUGAUUUCUCCAACACUUGCUUAACACUACAAAUCCACAUCAAUGCGAGAGCAUUGUUUCUGGUAGAAUUACAACCCUGCCCAUAGAGCAUAACUAAUGAUAUUCG
This 388-nucleotide unclassified non-coding RNA is filed under the name Hevea brasiliensis (rubber tree). Lineage: Eukaryota; Viridiplantae; Streptophyta; Magnoliopsida; Malpighiales; Euphorbiaceae. The record is from RNAcentral.